UUAAAUUGAUAUGUAUAGUGGGUUGACCCAGGCUAGACACCAGGUGCCCAGCCAAAGCCACUCUGUCACUCCGCUCCUCAGCUGAACAGGGGAGAAAAAAUACAACAAAAGGCUCA
Molecule: non-coding RNA, 116 nt
Organism: Sturnus vulgaris (Common starling)
Lineage: Eukaryota; Metazoa; Chordata; Aves; Passeriformes; Sturnidae
Source: RefSeq, a predicted model, not a curated record